This 560-nucleotide ribosomal RNA is filed under the name uncultured bacterium. Its description in RNAcentral is "bacterial SSU rRNA". It matches the Rfam family "Bacterial small subunit ribosomal RNA", at positions 352 to 902 of the family's 1533-position model. The record is from RNAcentral.
CAGUGGGGAAUUUUGGACAACUGGGGGCAACCCUGAUCCAGCCAUGCCGCGUGCGGGAAGAAGGCCUUCGGGUUGUAAACCGCUUUUAGCCGGGAAGAAAAGGCACGUCCUAAUACGGGGUGUUCUUGACGGUACCGGCGGAAUAAGCACCGGCUAACUACGUGCCAGCAGCCGCGGUAAUACGUAGGGUGCGAGCGUUAAUCGGAAUUACUGGGCGUAAAGCGUGCGCAGGCGGUUCGUUAAGUUCGAUGUGAAAGCCCCGGGCUCAACCUGGGAACUGCAUUGGAAACUGGCGAGCUUGAGUGUGGCAGAGGGGGGUGGAAUUCCGCGUGUAGCAGUGAAAUGCGUAGAGAUGCGGAGGAACACCGAUGGCGAAGGCAGCCCCCUGGGCCAACACUGACGCUCAGGCACGAAAGCGUGGGGAGCAAACAGGAUUAGAUACCCUGGUAGUCCACGCCCUAAACGAUGCUCACUAGGUGUUGGGGAAGCGAUUCCUUGGUACCGUAGCUAACGCGUGAAGUGAGCCGCCUGGGGAGUACGCGCCUGCAAGGUUAAAACUC